CGUCCGUCUGAGCAUUCAAAACGCACUGUCGACACAACUGCUUUCACUUUCAAGCACAUUUUCGCCUAGGGCUCCGUUCAUACAGGUGGUGAUGACGGUGCGGUUCGCAGCAUCAGCCAAAAUGCAAAUGCCAUCGGCUACCGGCAGCUGUCUCCGGAUUGCAACAAGGGAAGUGAGUGGUUGACCCCUUGUGUUUUACGGGCACAAUAUUGGUGAGCCAGUAACGGAUGGGCGGGCGAUAUGUUCCAUUGCAGGAGACAGUUCAUCCAGAUCCGGACAAUUAUCUACAGGAAGCUCGUUUCGUGGC
This 307-nucleotide small RNA is filed under the name Histoplasma capsulatum. RNAcentral describes it as "hypothetical RNA". Lineage: Eukaryota; Fungi; Ascomycota; Eurotiomycetes; Onygenales; Ajellomycetaceae. The record is from RNAcentral. RNAcentral also lists the same sequence under 1 other name.